GGUCACCAUAGAAACACCCACCCGUAGCACGCGCUCCAGCAGGUAUAUCUCACUGGUCACCAUAGAAACACCCACCCGUAGCACACGCUCCAGCAGGUAUAUCUCACUGGUCACCAUAGAAACACCCACCCGUAGCACGCGUUCCAGCAGGUAUAUCUCACUGGUCACCAUAGAAACACCCACCCGUAGCACGCGCUCCAGCAGGUAUAUCUCACUGGUCACCAUAGAAACACCCACCCGUAGCACGCGCUCCAGCAGGUAUAUCUCACUGGUCACCAUAGAAACACCCACCCGUAGCACGCGCUCCAGCAGGUAUAUCUCACUGGUCACCAUAGAAACACCCACCCGUAGCACGCGCUCCAGCAGGUAUAUCUCACUGGUCACCAUAGAAACACCCACCCGUAGCACGCGCUCCAGCAGGUAUAUCUCACUGGUCACCAUAGAAAC
This is a long non-coding RNA of Oncorhynchus keta (chum salmon), 447 nucleotides long. RefSeq lists it as uncharacterized. The record is from RefSeq and is a predicted model, not a curated record. NCBI's taxonomy places the organism in Eukaryota, Metazoa, Chordata, Actinopteri, Salmoniformes, Salmonidae. The transcript is spliced from 3 exons.